UACGUAGGGAGCAAGCGUUGUCCGGAAUCAUUGGGCGUAAAGCGCGCGUAGGUGGCCCCGUAAGUCCGCUGUGAAAGUCAAAGGCUCAACCUUUGAAAGCCGGUGGAUACUGUGGGGCUAGAGUCCGGAAGAGGCGAGUGGAAUUCCUGGUGUAGCGGUGGAAUGCGCAGAUAUCAGGAGGAACACCAAUAGCGAAGGCAGCUCGCUGGGACGGUACUGACGCUAAGGCGCGAAAGCGUGGGGAGCGAACAGG
RNAcentral lists this ribosomal RNA (253 nucleotides) under uncultured bacterium. RNAcentral's name for it is "partial 16S ribosomal RNA". It matches the Rfam family "Bacterial small subunit ribosomal RNA", at positions 524 to 776 of the family's 1533-position model. The record is from RNAcentral.